This 2608-nucleotide small RNA is filed under the name Mytilus galloprovincialis (Mediterranean mussel). Lineage: Eukaryota; Metazoa; Mollusca; Bivalvia; Mytilida; Mytilidae. The record is from RNAcentral.
AUGGAUGAUGUACUCGUUUUUUCAAGAACAUUUGAAGAGCAUCUGCAACACCUUACGAUUCUAUUUCAAAAGCUACGGGAAACCAAUCUAAAACUUAAACCUACAAAAUGUACUUUCGCUGCAAAAGAAGUAAAGUUUUUAGGCCACGUUUUAUCAAAAGAUGGAAUUGCUGUUGACACAACCAAGACAGAUGCAGUAAAAACAUUUCCAGUUCCCCAAAAUACAACAGAUGUCAGAGCAUUUUUAGGACUUGGCAAAUUACUACAGGAAGUUCGUUAAAAGGUUUUUCUGAAAAUUGCUAACCCGUUACACAGACAGCUUGUGAAAGGAGCUAAAUUUAUUUGGGACAAGAGCUGCCAACAGUCAUUCGAAGAGAUAAAGAAACUUUUAAUCUCAUCUCCAAUACUCGCGUUUCCAGACUUUUCAAAAGAUUUUAUACUCUACACGGACGCUUCACAGAUCGCUAUUGGUUACAUACUUGGACAAAAAGAUCAUAAAGGCAGAGAACAAGUCAUUGCUUAUGGUGGACGAUCAUUACGAGGAGCUGAAAAGAACUAUUGUAUCAGGGAUCUUGAAUAUUUAGCUUUGGUUGAAGGAGUUAAACAAUAUCAUGUUUAUUUGGCUAGCCGAAAAUUCAGAAUAUAUACAGAUCAUGAAGCACUUAUACACAUCCAGAAGCUCACGAAGGAGAAAAUCACAGGCCGACUUGCAAGAUGGGCUAUGUUUCUACAAAGCUACGAUUAUGAAAUAAUUUACAAAAAGGGAACGGCUAAUGGUAACGCUGAUGCGUUAAGUAGAAGACCAUAUGAUACCGAAAUAGCUACUAUUACAACAGCUACAGUCGAAUCGUCAACACAGACAGAAGCCUCUUUCAUCGAGUUAGACCCAUAUGCGUCCAUUUGCGAAAUAACCACAAGUCCAAAAGAAAAAGUCGUAAAUGAUCAACGGACAGAUGAAAAUUUCAAAGAUGUCAUUAAAUAUAUAUUGGAUAAAGAACUACCUGACAAGACCAGACAAGCUAGAAAAACGGUUAUUGAAUCACAAGAUUAUAUCAUAGACGAUGACGUAUUAUUUCAUUUAUACUACCCGAAAGGAAAAGGUCACAGAGCGGAUAGGAUAGUUAAACGAUUGGCAGUACCAUUAACCCUAAGAGACGAUAUCCUAAAGUCAUACCAUGACAGCUUACUCGGUGGACACAAUGGCAUUGAACGUACUUACCAUACAAUACGAUAUAAAUACUAUUGGCCUGGUAUGUACAAUGACAUUCAACAGUACGUACAGACGUGUAUGCAGUGUCAAAAAGCUAAACCUGACGCCCAUAAGCGCCCGACACCACUGCAACCACUUCCUGUGCUGGACGUAUUUAGAAGAGUACACAUGGACAUCUUAGGACCAUUUAGAAAAAGUUCCGGCGACUACACACACGUUCUACUAAUAGUCGAUUCAUUCACAAAAUUUAUGGAAAUACUUCCUAUGAAACAUACAGGCGCGAAAGAUGUAGCUGACCUAUUUUAUAACCAGUGGAUAUGCCGUUAUUCAGCGCCUGAUGCGAUCCUGACAGACAAAGGACAAAACUUCAUGUCGAAUAUAUUGAAGGAGGUUUGCAAUAUCUUCGAAAUCCAAAAGAUAAAUACCAGUAGUUACAGACCCCAAACAAACAGUACAUGCGAACGGAAUAACAAGACAAUAGCUGAAAAACUUCGCACAUGCAUUGAUGCCAACCAAUUAAAUUGGCCAGACAAAAUUACCAAGUAUUGCUCAUGCUAUGAACACGUCAGUAUGCACUGAAUCGACACAGUACACUCCGUAUUUCCUCGUAUUUGGAAGAGAAUGCAGAACGCCUAUUGACACAGUUUUAACAGAACCGUCCAAAGUCGGACCAGUCGCUAAGCAGUAUAUAGACAAAGUACAUGAACACUUAGUUUUAGCUAGAGCAAUAGCGCGGGAAAAUGCACUCGAAGCACAAAAGAAGUACAAAGCACAGCACGAUAAAAGAGCAAGAGAAAUUUCUUACAACAUUCGUGAUAAAGUAUGGCUGGAUACUAAGAAAACGGAAGUUGGGUUAUCCCGAAAACUUUGUAAUAAAUGGCAAGGCCCGUAUUACAUAACCGAAGUUAAGGGUAAAAGCACGUAUAGACUCCGGCGCUGUUCUGACGAUGUACCAAUUAAAGGACUUAUCAACGUCAACAGACUAAAGAAGUUUUACGACCCACAAGACAGGCCUACAAACAAUGUUGAUGUUCCAACUGACGACGAAAUGUCAGACGAUGAUGACAAUGAAGAGGCUGAAAAUGCUGAAGAUGACGAUGAAAUUGGUCAAACGGAUACACAGCCAGACUCAAUGACCCUACACAAAAACGAUACUCAGGUACAACGGCACACAAAUGAUGACCGAAAGAACGAUGAUUCAGAUCUGUAUCUAGUAGAACGGAUAGUAAAAGCAAAACGUAUAAACAAUAAAAUGCAUUAUUACAUAAAAUGGUUAGGUUUCGGUAGCACAAGCAAUUCAUGGGAACCGGAAGAAAAUAUUCCUCCAGAAUUAAGACACGAAUUUAAAGUUCGUAUGGAUCAGACUAAACGUAUAAAAGCACGUAAAACAAAGAGAUAA